This is a long non-coding RNA of Sapajus apella (tufted capuchin), 909 nucleotides long. RefSeq lists it as uncharacterized. Lineage: Eukaryota; Metazoa; Chordata; Mammalia; Primates; Cebidae. The transcript is spliced from 3 exons. The record is from RefSeq and is a predicted model, not a curated record.
GCCACUGCACCCAGCCUUCCUACUAGUUUUUAGCCACAAACUAACAGUCAGCUCCCACCCCCGCCCUCUACAGCAGCGGGAAAAGUCAGCCCAGAUCUACAUUGCCCACAAGUUUCUCACCUCUGUAUCCUCCUUGGACGGCCUUCUAAUUGCAGGCCCUUUUGCUCCCCUCACCAUGGGCAAGUCUUAGGUGGAAGCUGGAGCACCAAUGGCUUCUGGGGGUGUCCAGACUUGCAAUCCCAAGACACCCGGCCCCCUGCUCUUAUCCUCUCCUUUCAGGUCAGGUCUCAGAUCCGGAUUCUUUAAGGGCCAACUUUGCAUUCUGGGCUAGUGAAUGACAACUAGGGCACACCCUCUUCUCAACAGCCUGCACCUGAUUCCCUUUUAAAGGGGAAAUUACAUUUCUCGUUAAGACUGAAAGAGGCUGCUGAACCUUGCAGAAGAUUACUAUGUUGUUCUCAGGACAGCUGGAGGAAUUUCUGAAAGAACAUCAGUGUUCCUGACUUCCCUGAUUACCGUUACACUGAGAUUUUUGAUGGGACAAAGUCUUCAAAAGAGGGUGGCGAGGCUAGGAAAGGGUUCUCCUGUUUGGUAACUGCAACAGCUGCUGUGGGUGUCACAUAUGCUGCCAAGAAUGUCAUCUCCCAGCUUGUUUCCAGCGUCGAUGCUUCUGCUGAUGAGUUGGCCAUGUCAAAAAUUAAAAUCAAGUUAUCUGAUAUUCCAGAAGACAAGAACAUGGUUUUCAAAUGGAGAGGCAAACCCCUGUGUGUAUGCCAUAAAACCGAAAAGGAAAUUGUCCGAGAAGCUGCAGUUGAAGAGUUCCAGUUGAGGGCCCACAGCAUGAUUUCAGGGCCAGGCGCCGUGGCUCACACCUGUAAUCCCAGCACUUUAGGAGGCCGAGGUGGGUGG